AGUUUGAUCCUGGCUCAGGACGAACGCUGGCGGCGUGCCUAAUACAUGCAAGUCGAACGCUUCUUUCCUCCCGAGUGCUUGCACUCAAUUGGAAAGAGGAGUGGCGGACGGGUGAGUAACACGUGGGUAACCUACCCAUCAGAGGGGGAUAACACUUGGAAACAGGUGCUAAUACCGCAUAACAGUUUAUGCCGCAUGGCAUAAGAGUGAAAGGCGCUUUCGGGUGUCGCUGAUGGAUGGACCCGCGGUGCAUUAGCUAGUUGGUGAGGUAACGGCUCACCAAGGCCACGAUGCAUAGCCGACCUGAGAGGGUGAUCGGCCACACUGGGACUGAGACACGGCCCAGACUCCUACGGGAGGCAGCAGUAGGGAAUCUUCGGCAAUGGACGAAAGUCUGACCGAGCAACGCCGCGUGAGUGAAGAAGGUUUUCGGAUCGUAAAACUCUGUUGUUAGAGAAGAACAAGGACGUUAGUAACUGAACGUCCCCUGACGGUAUCUAACCAGAAAGCCACGGCUAA
RNAcentral lists this ribosomal RNA (519 nucleotides) under uncultured bacterium. RNAcentral describes it as "bacterial SSU rRNA". It matches the Rfam family "Bacterial small subunit ribosomal RNA", at positions 10 to 500 of the family's 1533-position model. The record is from RNAcentral.